This 41301-nucleotide long non-coding RNA is filed under the name Coffea arabica (coffee). RNAcentral describes it as "long non-coding RNA (CARA_LNC002198)". Lineage: Eukaryota; Viridiplantae; Streptophyta; Magnoliopsida; Gentianales; Rubiaceae. The record is from RNAcentral.
AGUACGGAGGUGUUUGGGAAUAUUUUUGAUCGGGUACAGAGAGCAGCGGACAUUUACAAACUAAAGGAGGAGGAGUUCGACUCCCACGGCGAUGAACCCGCUCGAAUCCGUCUACGUGAGGCACAAGCCGUGUAUCUGUGAGAGCUCUCUAUGGAAUAUGAGUUCUGGCGUCAAAAGGCGGCUGUCCGUUGGAUCAGGGAGGGGGAUGCUAACACCUCCUUUUUCCAUUCGGUGGUCAAACAACGUAGAAACUCCAACUUCAUCUCUCGCAUGAAAGACGAUGCUUUGAGCUGGCUCCACGAUGCUGCCGAUAUACAGGACUCCGCGGUGAGGUUUUUUUCGGAGUUGUUUCAGUCGACUGGAUUUGUUUCACCUCCCACGCUGCCUUUUGAACUACCGAGGAUCACCACGGAGGAGGAUGCAAAACUUCGGGAACUGCUCGGGAUGGACGAGCUUCGCUCGGUGGUCUUCUCUAUGGAUGCUAAUAGUGCCCCGGGGCCGGAUGGGUUCGAGGCAGGUUUCUAUCAACACUGUUGGGAGACAAUCAAGGAUGAUCUCUUGGCAGCUGUUCAUGACUUCUUUAUGGGGGUCGAACAACCUCGGGGGAUUUCCAGUGCAUUGAUAGUAUUGAUUCCAAAAGUGGAGGGGGCUUUCCAGUGGAAGAAUUUUAGACCUAUCAGCCCUUACAAUAUGAGCUCAAAGAUCAUUUCAAAAAUACUGGCCAAUCGUUUGGGGCACUUGCUGCCAAGACUAAUUUCCCCUUGGCAAACAGGCUUCGUACCUGGGAGGGGGAUCAUGGAUAAUAUUCUACUGGCGCAAGAACUGCUGCUGGAUUUGGAUAGACGACUCACAUAUCCGAAUCUGAUUAUCAAGCUCGACAUGGAAAAAGCGUAUGACAGAGUUAAGUGGUCUUUCCUUCUUUUCAUGCUUCGUAGCUAUGGCUUGUCGGAAUUCGCAGUAAAUCUCCUCUUUAGGACGUUAUCUACCUCGUGGUUUUCUGUAUUGGUCAACGGCCAAUCAUCGGGUUUCUUGAAGUCUAGCAGGGGAGUGCGUCAGGGAGAUCCGCUGUCGCCUGCCCUUUUCUUGGUUGUCGCUGAAUUUCUUGGUCGGGGUCUUCAAAUGCUUUGCCAUAACCAAGCGGACAUGGGCUAUGUUUCGGCCAGGGGCAGAGUACCUUACCUUGCUUUUGCUAACGAUAUGAUUAUAUUCACUCGGUGCUCGGAAACUUGCUUGCUGGCACUACGUGACUUUCUCCUACUUUACCAGCAGCACUCCGGAUAAAAGGUAAACAUCGGGAAGAGCGCCUUCCUCUCAUCCUCUAGCCUCCCUGCAGAUCUAGACAGUCUUGUGGGUUCGACAUUGGGGUUUCACAAGCAAUGCUUCCCAUUGAAAUAUCUAGGGGUGCCCCUUGCCCGUGGGAGAAUGGGGGUGGUAAUCUUCGACCCCCUCCUAGCAAACCUACGUACACGUCUCUUCCAUUGGAGCUCGAAACUUCUGAGUAUGGGGGAUAAGGUUAUCCUCCUCAGGCACAUGCUUAGCUCGCUUCCCCUAUUUUUAUUACAAGCGCUUUGUCCCCCAAAAUCCGUCUUGGUGGCUAUGGGCAGGAUUUGCAACUCCUUUCUAUGGGAUUCAAAUGUAGAGUCGCGGAGGGUGCAUUGGGCGGCGUGAGAAAAGUUGUGUUUCCCGGUGCAGGAAGGUGGUUUAGGAGUUCGCUCCUUUCAGGACUCUGCUAGGGCCUUUGCUUGCAAGUUCUGGUGGCAACUACGUAAGAACGACUCACUAUGGGCAGAUUUUAUUCAUAAAAAGUAUAUCAAGGGCAUGCACCCUUCGAUCACGGCGGUGGAUCGGCCCCCGGCUUCGUGGAGGCGCCUGCUAGCUGUUCGGGAGUUUGCGGAGUCACAGAUACGAUGGUGCUUAGGGAAGGGAUUCGUCGAUUUCUGGUAUGAUGCCUGGUGUGGCGACCUCCCUCUGGCACAGGAACUGGGUGUGUCGGAUCCUCCCCAUUUCCUAGUGGGUGAGUUUUUUACAUUUCAAGGGUGGAACGUUCCGAGGUUGAGGGAGUGGGUACCAGAAGCCGUGGUUCAACGGAUCACUACCAUCCAUUUUUCCCUGGAGCAGGAUGACGUGAUGGUUUGGGUUCUGUCGCCUAACGGGAAUUUCUCCGUGUCCUCGGCAUUGGAGGCAAUUCAGCCUAAGCGUAGUAUCUCUCUGGUUGACCACUAUGUGUGGGGUCCAGUGGUGCCGCUGAAAGUUUCCUUCUUCGCAUGGCGAUUGCUGCGGCGGUGGCUCCCUCUUGAUUGUAUUCUGCAGGGCAAGGGAGUAACGUUAGUCUCUCGGUGUAAUUGCUGCCUGCAGUCGCAGGAGACAGUUUCUCACAUUUUCCUGCAUGGCACGGUGGCAAAAGCAGUACGGGAGCAUUUUCUCAAGACCUUCGGAUUAUUUCCGGCUAACUCGAGUAGUGUAGCUUCGAUGUUGUCGCACUGGUUUCUCUCUCACUCCAAGGUUUCGGCAGUACAUGUGCGGGUUCUGGUUCCCCUAUUGGUUCUCUGGUUCAUCUGGAAGAGUAGGAACUUGGCAAGGUUUCAAGCAAGCAUUUUUACCCCAACUCAGGUGAUCUCUCAGAUAGAAAAGUUUUUGGGACAGAUGGGUUGGGCUUGUGCUUUCGCGAGGCCCUCUUUUGCAGGUGAUCAGGACUGCCCGUGGGCGAGCCUCUGCAACCCCACAAGGCGAGAUAUGGGGGCGAUGCUGGUCUCUUGGGAAAAGCCACCGAUGGGCUGGCUCAAGCUCAACUUUGAUGCUAGUGUAAUCAAUGGUGAGGCGACUGGUGGAGGGGUCUUGCGCGACCACUGGGGGAGGGUGGUCUGGGCGUACUAUAAGGAGUUUGGGGACUUGGAUGUGCUAGCAGCGGAAGCCCGAUCCCUUCUGUUCGGUCUCCAAUUGUGCAUGGAGCGAGGUGUUAGCUCAGUGAUUGUGGAAUCGAACUCAAGUGUACUAGUGCAGCUCGUGGGUUCGGAAGCCUUGUCGAAGUGGCCACUGUGCACUGUUUUGCGAGAGAUCAGACACCACAUUGGACACCUGGAGGCUUCCCUCCUUCAUGUAUUUCGAGAAGCCAAUGCGGUGGCGGAUGCAUUAGCUUCCCUACAAUUGGGAGAGCAUCGGUUGUUUGAGUCACUCACGGCCCUUCCAUUCAAAGCCAGAGGGGAGGCACGAUUGGAUUGCCAUGGAGUUCCCCGUAUCCGUGCGGGAAGAUGUUGAACAGGAGCAACUGCUUUAUCUUUCUUGCCACUGUUUGGUCUUUCUGUCAUGUAAUCUCUUUUGGUUCUAAUAAAAGUUAGUAUUUAUUUGAAAAAAAAAAACAUCAACAAAAUCCAUAUAGUACCUAAACAAGUCCACGCUUCAAAACGAACAACAAUGAAAAGAAGCUCCAUAGUACACUCCAGGAUACAACACUAAUAAUAACGGUCUGGGCGUUUUACUUGAGCUCAUGGUCUAGUCUGCUGCAGACAAGAAACGUUUUUGGCAAAAGGAACCAAGGAAAGGAGGCUACUUGCUAAUCGAAUUCUCUCAUGUUCCUUGAGGGACUUUUGUACACUAUAUAUAGAACAAAUUAUUUCCAAAUUUUGGUUUCAAGCAUUCGCAGUUUCCACCAUCAAAAUUUGUUUUGGCCUCAAUACACCUCGACAGUAUCAAUUACUCUAUAUUGUACCUCAAACUUUUCUUUUAGACACUUUGACCUGAACUCUACAAUUACUAAUUAACUCCAAUUAGUAUAUAUUGUCCACUUGUUAUGUGUGGUUUUGUCCCACAUUAGUUGUUUUACUAAGGAGUUUUCCUCUUUGUUGGUUAUAAAUGGAGCGCGUCUUUGGUGAGAAGUUCACCAAAUCAAGGGAGUUUUUAGUGGGUUAUUUAGGCUUUUGGAUCAUUAAACAUUUUGUAGUAAAAUAUUUUGGGCUCUAUUGAGUUUUAAAGUUUUUGUACCCAGCUCUUUUAUAUAGUGAAAUUCUGCUUCUCCUCCACUCGUAGACGUAGUUCAAUUUGAUGACUGAGUCACAAACCUUUCAUCAAUUUCUUGGGACUGGACCUAACGCCUCUCCUACUCGUAUGUUGGUAGUGUAUUGCGCAAGUUGGGUAUGUGUUGGAGCAUAAAUUUGCUCGUAUGUUAGUAGUGUAUUGUGCAAGCCGAGUGUGUUUUAGAGAUUAAGCGUGUGUUGAAGUUAGAACUGUCAAUGAGGUUAGACCAACUCAAGUUUGGCUUGUUUAGUCCGAGAAAAAGUCCAUGAGUUGAAUUAGGGAUGGCAAUAGGGCGGGGGUUCCUUUCCCCAUUCCCCGCCCCUUGCCCCUCACCCCCCGCCCCACCCCCGUCCCAUUUUCCCCACGGUCCCCCGCGAUAAAAGAAAUCAACUUAUCAUAAAAUGUUCAUUUACAAUAAUUCACUGAAUUUUUUAUUAGGUUGCACUUGAUUGCCCCUCUAUGUAUAUCUGAAUUUUCAGUUACCAGCCCAUCUCCUGACCAAAAUAUAUCAUUUUGAGUUAUUUUAGCAUUAUACAUAUAUCCAUGGCCAUAUUUUUUUUAUAUAAUACUAAAAUAUUAAACCAUUUAAUUGUCGUAAAACGAGUAUUAGUACAUAAGAUGCCAGAGAUUCAUAUCCAAAGCCACAACAUAGUUUACAACAACAUAGAGCUUUUCCCAUUAAGUAAUAGCAUUCACAGGUCUCCUGAACUAAUUAGCUAAAGAUAACUCCCACCAUAAUAAGUUAUAUCCAGGGCUAUCUAAAAGGAUUGAACAACUCAAAAAUUUAUGCACACAAAAGCCUAGUACAUGAAGCAAAAAAAAUCAGAAGCAAGCCUAUACGAAAAGCAAAACUCUCCUCGUAUGUCCAAGCAAUUUUGAGAACUAACAGGAGAGAGGAAGAAUUCUCAAACACUAACAAAAAAUACCUUGAACAGUUAGGGUUUUGUUACUUUUGUGUGUGUAUAUAUAUAUAUAUAUUUUUUUUUUUUAUGCGAGGGACGGGGUGGGGGACGGGGCGGGGGAUGGGGCGGGUGUAUGUUGCUCCAUCCCCCGCCCCGUUUUGAAGGCGGGGGUAAAUAUUUUGCCCCCGCCCCCACCCCGUCCCAUUCCCCGCCCCAUUUGUACCCCUGCGGGUGUCCGCCCCCAUGCCAUCCCUAAGUCUAAUCUUUUAUUGACUUGAGCUAAUAUUGGGCUUAAAUAUUAGGUUUGAAUUAAAUAUGAGUUGAAUUGGGGCCUUAUUAAGCUCCAACCCAAUAUAAGCCCGACCCUUUAAUUUGCACAUAUAUAUAUAAUUAUAUAGAAUAUAUUCAUGUUUUGAUAUAUAUAUAUAUAUAAUUAUAUAUCUAAAUAUAUAAUGCUAAUGCUUUAUACUUAUGAGUUAUGUGUCAAAAUAUAUUAAUAUAUAUAAGAAAUAUUAAAUAUACAAAAUUAUGUCAAAAUAUUCAACAAAACAAAGUUUAGUAUGAGCAAAUUGAGGACCUUUGAAGAUGUAUUAAUUAUUGAUUAUGUUUUAUUACUAUUUUCUAUGUACUUUGAACCAAUUGGAUAUAUUAUUGUUGAAAAAUUCUUGGUUUAUAUAUUUUUUAAUGAAUUGUUAUUGGUUCACAUAUAAUUUUAAUGUUGUGAUCCUAUGGAUGUUAAAUUAGCUUUAGAACAUAAUAGUUAUAGUAAUUAUAUUAAGAAACUUAAAGAGUAAUAAGUGAAUUUAAACUAAAUCCGAAUUAGGUUCACAUCUCGAAUAUUUUGUGAGCCAAGUAUAAACUUCAUAUUUAUCAACCCAAAACUGAAAGUAGUACUAAUUAUAUGACUCAAGGAUGAGGUUGUUAAAGUGUGAUUCAGAUGGCCCGAAUGACAAGCCUAGUUGCAGCAUAAAUUCCGGGAUUAGGCGAUAUCUAACAACAGAAUGAAACAUGCCUAAGGCCUCUGGCCAACCUAUGGCCAGGAUGUAUAGUGGAUGGGUAACUGGUGACACAUAACUAUUCACAACUAGGCUCCUCUCAAUUGUAUCGGAGAGAAUCUCUCUCCAUCAUACUCUCAUAAAAUUAAUUGUAAAUUUAUUUUGAAAAUCAACAUCAUUCAUAAUAUAUUUCAUCCCUUGUGUUAGAUAUAUAUAUAAAAUUUUGUGUUAGCAAUUUUACAAAAUUUCACUAACAAAUUGACUAAGUUUUACCCUGUAAUUAAUCAUUUCAAUUUUGUUACAAUUUUGACUCAUGUUUUACAAUUUAAAAGUUUUGUAUAAAUUGAACAUCAAAAUAUUCUUAAAAGAGUAUCAUUUUUUAGUAUGUUGAUUUAGACAUUAAAAGAAAAAUAAUGACACAAUCAGAUGAUGUUAUGGAGUUAUAAAAUUUUAGAUAUAGAUAAUGGAAGGAUCAAUAGAGAAAAAUUCAAUGGAAAGCCUUCAAUUAGGAAGUGUCGAUCAAAGGUUUUGUAAGGGAGUACUACUUCUCAUUUUGGGUUUAAUUUUGCUAUGUAUUUUGGGUUCAACAAGUUUUGCAGAAUUUGUGAAUUUUUAACUUUUUAAACCGAAACAAGUCAGAGCCUGAGCAGACAUUGAGCAUAUAUGUUCUAACCUGGUUUGCUACGAUAAGAGUUAUUUGGAAUAGAAACUUGUAGAGUUUUCAAAACACUUUUUCUUCUAAUAUUUUUAUUUAUUUGUUACAUUGAAUUUUAAAAUUUUUCAAAUAAUCUUCAAUCCAUUACUUUCUUAUUUUAUCAUUUCAUGUGCCUUAAGACACAUUCACGUGUACAAUUCAAGAAAUAUAAAUAUUGACACUAAUUGUAACACUUCAAUUUUUAACUCGUGUAAGGUUAUUGAUUGAAGGAUUAAAUACUCACUUAAAAUAUUUACGCGAGAGAGGAGAAAAUAAAUAAUGCAUACUAUUAUUGAAAUUUCAACUAAUGGAAGAAAACCACAACUGACACAUUUUUAAAAAAAAAUUAUCUCAACCAAUGCCCUAUUUAUAACUUACAAAGACUUUUAAAAUGAGAAAUUACUCAUACAAAAAAUUGUUAAAUAAAAAACAAACUCCUAAAUAACACAACUACGUAAAACAUAAAUAAAUAGAAACUUCUAGAGCAGGUUUGUUUUGCCAACAAAGAUGACGUUCUUCAGCAACCAAUUCUUAUUCCUUUUAUUGGUUAUUUAAUUUAUUGUACGUUCAAUCUUUGUUUUGCUCCUAAAGCAAAAUAUGACUUAUAGAUCCAAUCCGGAUCCAUGGAAUUUCUGUGCAGUGAUCUGAUCUAGCCGUUCUGCCGUCUCACUUGUAAGAUAAUUUUUCCAAUCUCCAACCUUACCAUUACGAAAAAAUACCUGCUUCCUAAGAAUCCACCAGGUCCCGCUCUUGUUCACCUCCAAAUUUCUCAAGUGAUCAAAACUACAGAGCCCUUAAAUCUCAUCAACCGCUCCUGCUGUCUCUUCCUCCUGAGAAAUUGGACAACCCAAGAACUGGGCAAGAAGUUUCAGGUAAAAUGCAGGUUCCUGUGUCAUUUGUUCAUACUUCAGAAAAAGUUCUUUUCGGGACUUGUCCAAGCUUGCUUUCCAGUAAUCUAAAACAUGAUCCCAAACAGUCGACCAGACAUGCUCACUCCCUUACAAAACAAGUCAAAAAAUUCUUCAAAAGAAGUCUCAGCACUCCCCAGCUUAUUAGUGAAGUGCCGAUACGGGACAAUAACAUCCUUAAUGUUUCUGUAUAUAUAGACAAUCUUGCAACCCGAAUUCAUCACUGACUCAGGCAGUAGCGCAAGCGGGCAGUGGGUUCCAAGCAGUCUUCUUGAAUCUUGGAAAUAUUGUCAGAAAGAAUAUUCAGGGUCCUGUUUAUUAUGAGAGAGAGCAUAAAAUUCCAGUUGUGGCACAAGAACAUAAGGACUUUGGUUGAGCAAAGGGUGGCUUGGGUUGAUGGGGAGAAUAUUUCGGUUCAUCAAGGCGAAUGCGAGGGCCUUCAGCCAUGUGGUGCCCUACGAGGGAGUGGUGAUUAGCAGGACAUCACUGUCUCGAGCCUGGAAGUGCUUUUGGACUUCAACGAGCCCUGGCAACUGGUUAGUAGUAAACCAAAAGCCAUUGUACUUGUACAGAUAAGAAGAACCUUGCCAUCUCUCUCUGGGGAGAGUAGAAUACAGGUUCUUGCACUGGUCUUGCAUUAGUUCCUCUACUUCUGAAUCUUCUGAGAAAGGAACUUUGAAGGAGGAUGGAGUUGUAGACAUAUUGUUGCCUUUAGGAUUGUUAUUGAAUAUACUUGAUUGUUGCUCAGCUCUCAAGUCCCUCGCUCGGUUCUUCUAUAGACAUAGUGUAGGGGCAGUAGGAGCUAUUGACCCCACUGAACUUUAUAAUGCAUAUGCAUAAUUUUAUAAGUUUAUCCCCGUAUUUAAAGUUUAUUAUCUCAUUACCAACAGUUAAUAGUCUUUGAAUGGUUAGACCUUGAUCUCUAAAGAUGUAUUCAUAAACUGGAUUAUAAACUUGUGGGCAUGUCUCACACAAUAUAUGUAUAUAUAUAUAUAUAUGUAUAUAUAUAUAUAUAUAUAUAUAUAUAUAUAUAUAUAUAUAUAGAUGAGUGUGUGCAUUAUGGUCUUUUAAUUUCUUAUCCAGCUAUUAUACAAAUUAAUCCUUCUUAAUUAACUUAACUUACAAGUAAAAAAUUCACCAAUGACAUACCAAUGCACUUGAACCAAUAUUUUUUUAAUGUUAUUUUUUUGCCAAUUUUUCCUUACUAAAUCAACACACUUGUCAAUAAAAAGAUAAUUAGUUUUACCUUUUACACUUGGAUUAAAACCAAUCAAGACACAACUUUAUUAUUUAUUAUUUUACCAUUAAAGAUAGAGAAAACUUAUUAGGGACUCGCGAGAUUAGAAGUGACAAAAUACUUUAUAGCUAUUUGAGGAAAUAAACCUUUGUUGAGAUUUUAGAGAAGAAAUGGAGAAACCCAAAAAAGGAUUGAUUAGUAAGAAUAUUAUUAUUGUUUCCCAAUUAGCACUCCAAAUCUCCAAGCAAGAAUUCUUUCUACUAUUUAGAAAUUUACUUGGUUAUAUCUUCAAUAAAAUUUUGUAAAUUGCUGAUUUUUAUUCACAAACAUAUGGUUAGGUUAUAGUUUUAUAGGGUAGUUUUUGGGAAGAAAUUUUUAAAUCAUUUAUAAUUUGUAGUUCGCGCUUGCAUUUGAUGGUUUAUGUGAUGAAAUUAUAUAUAUUUUUUCAUAGUUCGUUUGUGAAUUAAUAUCUAGUUCGAUGUUUAAUUUUAACCAAUUACGAAGAGAUAUUACAAAAGGAAGAUUAUGAUUGAAGAACGAUUUAAUGUUGAAGUUGAUGAUAAUGAUCAUGGAAAAGAUCAUUCAAAAAAAAUUAGGUGAAGGUUAAUUUUGAUGAUUUACUAUUAAUUUAGGAUUGAGGAAAAGUUGUGUUAAUUAUCACCCUAAAUUUGCCCCACUGAAUUAAGUUUCUAACUCUACCCCUACCUAACUCCAAAAUCUACAUCACAAACUCGCCAACUUUGUUAGUGCACGACAACGUAUACUGAGCUAAUUCUAAAAUCUACAUCGCAGACUCGCCAACUUUCCUAGUGCACAACAACGUAUUUUGAGCUCGUGGUGCUUCAAAUCAAUGGAAUGAUUGAACCACAAAAUAGAGCAGAUCGUCUACAGACAUCAAGGAAAUCCGUGUUUUUUAACCUUUUACCCUCCUACUCUUCCUCGGAAGAGGUGAAUUCUUGGUGAACGAGUCAAGGUCACACCAAAAAACGAUAUCACCUGUAAAAUUUUAAGUGACCGGGGCUCUGUCCCCUAGUCUCAUUCCGAUGCUGAAGUCAGAGGUAGUUCGGAAGUUGAAUGUACGGAUUAGAUUCCAUAUCUCAUUUGGAAGUGGUAGAUGGGUAUUUAUAAUAGAUGAAUCUAUGGAUAGAAUGAUGAGAUCUACCCACUGUUAGCCAUCAUGAGGUCACUUAAGGCGGCGGUGCCAGUUAUAGAUCUGAGCAGUAUGGUGACUAGCAGUCACAUCACUCCAUCAAUCACAAGUCACCCAGACAACUGAGAUGUCGGUUGUCUUGGGCAGAGGAGGUGACGAGGUGAAACUUCUCUUCAAAGUGAUUUCGCUAAUCAAUUCGACUGAGAAUGUCCAAGACGAGGUAUCUCUUGUAGAAAGGGCAUGGAUGGGAUUGACCAAGCCCAGACAGGCUAAGAUGUCCACACCUCCCAUUCUUCCCACCCUCAAUUGGUGGUACAGGUUUCGAACCGUAAACCUGAUGGUGAGCAAAAACACUAAUAGCUAGUUUGGGAGUUCAGAUUUCAAAGGAAUAGAAAAAAAAGGAAGGGAAAGGUGAACUUUUCACGUUUGGGAGAUUUUAGUGAGACGGAAAAAAAAAGAAACGAACGGAUCUUGAAGAGAAGCCAAGUGCUGCUACAGUGCAAAAAUUUGCUGACCAAAACGGGCGGAAAGCGAAGGAAAACUGAUGGAAGCUUACAAAUUUUUUUUUUAUCCUUUCUUUUCUCACAUAACUUAUCAUUUCUCUUCUUUUCUUUUCUAUCCUCAACUCACAAACUAGCUAUAAGAGUUCAUUUUGACUAUUGAUCAGUCCCAAUGAUUAUUUAUUAAUUAAUUAUUAAACAACACCGCACUUAAAAGACUCAAAGAGUCCUUUCUCGAUUACUGACGGGCCCAAUGAUUAUGAAUUAAUUAAUUAUUAAACAACUCCACACUCAAAAUAAAUACGAAACAACUGAAAAUGGAACAAAAAAGGAAAAAAAAAAUGCUCCGUGUGUUGAUACUCCAAUAGUCUAAUGUACAGCUACUGGCCCUGCUGACUCGUGACAUUAAAAAGAUCUUUUGUAGAAGGAGUCGCAGACACGCGGUUGUUGUAAAAUUUGUGAAUUAUUUCUCUCACGUCCCGCUGUGUAGUGGCGGAGCUAGGAAUUGCAAUUAGGGGAGCGAGUCUCUGUUAUUUGGAUAAAGUCCAAAUAACUUUCAAACAUUAUUAUUUGGGUCCUUAGGAGGGGGCAAAGUGAAAUUUUUUAUCAAUAUUUUGGGGGGGCAAAACAAUAUAAGAAAAAUUUUUUUUACUUAGAAAUUUUUUUAUAACAAUUGGAGGGGGGCAAAGUGAAAAUUUUUAUCAAUAUUUGGGGGGGGCAAAAUAAUAUAAUAAAAAUUGUUUUACUUAGAAAUUUUUUUUUUAACAAUUGGAGGGGGGGCCUGGCCCCCCCUUCCCUCCGCCCCUGGCUGUGUGGUAGCAUUUCUGAAACGGAAUACGACUUCACAUGGGGUAAUCAACUACAACAGUUGAUCAUCAAGAGAUUUUUAAAAUUCUAUUUGAAUGUAGAUCAAGGGAUCGAAUCUCUUGACCUGAUGGUAGUUCAGUUCCUCCAAAUUUCCUUCUUGGCUCUGUUGGGUCACCCUCCCUCCCCGGCCCCGCAGUAUAGUGUAGGAAUAGAUAUAUCGUUUUUGGCCAAAAAAAAAAAAUUAACUUCACAUGGGGUACCAAAGGGAGAUGUGAUAGGAUGAUGGUGAAAGGCGAGAGCAUGAUUGGGGUAUUUUUGGAUCUUUAAUGUGCUUUUGAGAUGUUUUCCGAGAGGUUAAUGUAGAUUUUUGGUGAGAAGAAACAUGUUUAUUUAUUUUAUUUUUAUACAUAUAAGGUACAAGUAGCACCCAGAGCUUCUCAUAAGCAUAUAAAAGCAAAUUGUUAAUGUUUGACUGCGUGAUGCUUUCAAAUAAAUAAGUUUUAAUUUUUUAAUCACGCUGUUUUAACUCAUUUUUUGCUAAAAAUAAUUUAAGUUCCAUUGGUUGUUCAAGCAAUUUGACAUUUUUUAAAUGUAUAAUAUAAUGAAAAUGAGGAAUUUUUCUAAAAUAUUUGAUAACUUUUGACUUUAUGUUUUUUUGUAUUUCUAUUAGCAUUUAACGUUAUAGAAAUGAACUGACAUUGCCACUUAAGAUAUUAUAUAUUUUUGUGAUCAAUUUUAUUUUAAUUGAUUUAUACGUUAAUAUUUGCUUUUUAUUACCAUAAAUUCUUUUCCUAUGUUAAUCAAAGGAAUGCGUUAACGUCUAAAUAACAAAUAUAUAUAUAUCUUUAUUAUAUUUCAUUAAAAUGCACUUCUCUCUCUUUUUUUUGUUUUAAUGGUAGCCGUUAGAUUUGCAUAUAUUUUUGUCACUAUUUUUUUUGCCAUCAGAUUAUUAGAUUAUUCAAUAAAUCUUAUUUAUUAUAAAUUCUAUCUAAUUUGGAGCGAAAAACAUUUUUCUAAGCCAUUGCAUUAUUAGAUUAUUCAACAAGGCAGCUUACAGAUUAUUUGACUCUCCUGUUUUUCCUCUCGUUUGCUUGUAAUAAGUCAAACAAUGCAAACAUUCUUCACACUCCACUUUUUGACAAUUACCUAAUCAAAUGAGGCAAUUACUUUGUUCCUUAGAGUUAGGUUGUCCUUCACAAAAAUGCCAACCUUUUGAUAAAUUAUCAAUUGCACUUCAUCUUUUCAUAACCAUUAGAUUGAAAUACAAAGUACUACACUAGUUCAGCUUUCAUAGAUUAUCUUUUUAGAUGAAAUUAUUAUCAACAAACAAAUCUUGAAUAGUACAGUGCACACUACUACAUACAUUACCAACUGUUAUUCUGUUUUAUUUGCUUUUCGUUCUCGCAUAGCAAAAAGAAAACGUUCUUGCUUUCUCAUCAUUUGGUAAUACAAUUUUUCUUAGCUUUUUUUUCACCAUAUCUAUGCAUUUACGUCUUAUUGUAGUAAGAUAUAGUUUCUUUUACAUGUUUUGUGUUUUGAUUUUGCAGCGUUGCCUUCAACAUUCAAGACUUUUGCUUUGUCCAUCACUUUACUUCAAGUUAGUCACAUUACUCAUAACUAGCCUGCCUAAUGUUUGAUAAAAUGUUGAUUAAGAUUACUUGAUAUUUACAAGUUUCACAAGUAAACUACUAGUAGCUACUUACUAUUGAAUUAUAUAUACUGUGUGACUUAUGAUUGUAAACUUUAGCAAUGAACUUUGAAACUAUUUAGUCUAUUUAGAUUUGUUUUUCUGCUUUUGUGACAUUUUUAGAUUGUUUAUGUUAAAGAUGCUUGCUUAUUUCUUUAAUGGAUAGCUAAGCUAAUUGAAUGUCUAUUUCAUUAUCAACUAAAUUUUGACAAUCAAAACAAAGAAAAAAAUCAAUUAGACAAGUUAGUAUAAUUCCUCACUCAACUGAUAAAGGAUGUAAUAAUAGAUUUUUAUGUCAAUCAAUAUCAGCAAACUGUAACAUGCAAGUCCAAGACCAAAAUUUCAAAAGUUCAGUGUAUAGAUCAUGCACUGUUGUUCUUGUCUCAUUGCCUUCAUAAAUGAAUUAAAAUAAAAUUGAUAGGAAAAGUGCAUAUUAUGUUUGGUAGUAAUUUCAGUUGGUUUAUACAAGUUUAAAUGGUACUGAAUAUUUUAAAAUGCUGCUAAAUAUAAUUUAUUAAUGAAUUAAAAUAAAAUUGACAAGAAAAAUCGUAUAAUAUAUUAAGUGGCAAAGUAAGUUCAUCUGUACAAGUUUAAAUGCUAAUAAUCCAAUUUCUUUCCAUUUUAGUAAUGUACAUAUUUUACGUAUAUAUUUACACAUGACACUCAAUUCAAAAACAUUCCUUCAAAUUUUGCUACCCUUAAAACACUUCAAGAUAGGCAUUGGCUGUGUUGCACAGCCAAACCUUACUAGUAUUACAACAUAUGGAGAGAGGUCCUAGCUUAGUUAGCCCACAAUUUUUCAUCAUCAAAAUAUCUAAAACCACAACAAUUAGUAAAUCAAAAUAUAGAAAAAAUCAAAUAAAGAAAGAAAGAAAAGAAAAACUCUCGUGGAUGAUGCCUUGCUUUCAAAAGCAACAGUCACAAUCAAAGGGGCACAAAGGAGUAACCUUCAGUAGCCGCCUUCCCUACCGCCAAAUCCUUUUCGCUAUAUGUAACUGGACCAUCUCCAGUCCUCUUUCCCGGCCUCCGCCCAGCUCCUCCUGCUGAUGGUGGUGCGUCACUCCUUCCAUUUUCCUGUCCAGGACCAUUCUUGUUUGCAUUCCUUUUACUAGUAUUAUUCUUUUUUGUCAUCAUUUUAUCAUGAUCCGAAUCUCUAGCUGUCUUCUUGGGAGUGGGCUUUAGAUUAUCUAAUUUUUUGCUCUGCUUCUUCUUUGAAGUGAGAAUCUAAUCAAUCUCAACAAAGAACGUUUAGGACAAAACAUACUCCUAUGCAGACUAGAAUGCCCUUUCUUUUUCUUCCUGCGUCACGGGCGUGUUUGGAUUGGAGAUAAAAAGGCAUUGAAAAAUGUGCUGAUAAUGCAAGUAAUUUAAUGUAUAUAAAUAAAGUGUAAAUAAUGUGCAAUUCAAACACACUCAUCACUCAUAACAUUUGAAAUUGACAAAAGAGCUAGUAAUUUACACUUCUAAUAAAAUACUUCAGCUAAUACUCUAUUUAAAAACUUACAAAGACUUAUAAAAUAAGAGAUCACUUGCAUACGAAAUUACUAAAUAAAACACGAACUUCAAAACAAUACAACCACUAAAAAAUUGACGCUAAUAAAAUUAGUAAAUAAAUAAAUAAAAACUUCUAGACUAAAGCAAAUAUGACUUAUAGAUCCAAUCCGGAUCCAAGGAAUUUUUGUGCAGUGAUCUGGUCAAGCCGUUCUGCCAUCUCACUUGGAAGAUCAUUUUUCCAAUCUCCAACCUUACCAUUACGAAAAAAUACCUGAUUGCUAUGAUUCCACAUGGUCCCGCUCUUGUUCACCUCCAAAUUCCUCAUGUGAUCAAAGCUACAAAGCCCUAAAAUCUCAUCAACCACUCCUGCUGUCUCUUCCUCUUGAGAAAUUGGACAACCCAAGAACUCGACAAGAUGUUUCAGGUUAAAAGCUGGUUCUUGUGUCAUUUCUUCAUACUUAAGAAAAAGUACCUUUUGGGGCUUGUCCAAGCUUGCUUUCCAGUAACCUAAAACAUGAUCCCAAAUAGGUCCAGAUAAGCUCACUCCCUUACAAAACAGGUCAAAAAAUUCCUCGAAAGAGGUUUCAGUACUCCCCAACUUAUUAGUGAAGUGCCAAUACGAGACAAAAAUAUCCUUAAUGUUUCUGCUUAGAUAGACAAUCUUGCAACCCGAGUUCAUCACUGACUCGGGCAGUAGCGCAAGCGGGCAGUGGGUUCCAAGCAGUCUUCUUGAUCCUUGGAAAGAAUAAUCAGGGUGCUGUUUAUCAUAAGGGUUAGGAUAUUCCAAGUGUAGCACAAGAGUAUGAGGAUUUUGGUUGAGCAAAGGGUGGUUCUGGUUGAUGGGACAAAUAUUUCGGUUCAUCAAGGCAAAUGCGAGGGCCUUCAGCCAUGUGGUGCCCGACUUGGGAGUGGUGAUAAUUAGGACAUCACUGUCUCGAGCCUGGAAGUGCUUUCGGAAUUCAACGAGCCCUGGCAUCUGCAUAGUGCUGAACCAAAAGCCAUUGUACUUGUACAGGUAAGAACCUUGCCAUCUCUGUCUGGGGAGAGUAGAAAGCAGGUUCUUGCGCUGCUGUUCCAUUAGUUCCUGUAGUUCUGAAUCUUCUGAUAAAGGAGCUGAGGAGGAGGAUGGAGAUGUCGACAUAUUGGUGGCUUUAGGAUUUGCAUUGAGUAUACUUGAUUGUUGCUCGGUUCUUCUGUAGACAUUUAUAUAGCCUAGCUCUAGAUCCGAAGAUAGUUGGAGGCAGUGGGAGCUAUUGACCCCACUGAAAUUUAUAAUGUAUAUCCAUAAUUUUAUCAGUUUGUCCCCAUACUUAAAGUUUAUUGUCCCACUCCCAACACUUGAUAUUCUUUGAACCAUUAGAUCUUGAUCUCUAAAGAUAUAUUUUAAAAAAUGGAUUAAAAAACUUGCGGGCAUUUCUCACAUCUAUAUAUAUCCUCACUAUACUAAAAGUGCGAGUUGGAGUUGCUACAGUGGUCAUGGACCGGUUAUCCAGUAAUUUUGAGCAACUUCAGUGGCAUUUUCAUAGGCAAAUAGACUGGUAAUGCUAUAAAUUUCGACAAUUCCAGUGGCAUUUCAUAGGCAUUUGUUUGGGCUUGCCCUCUUGCUCCAGUGUUCAGACGCUAGAAUUCUUUCCCCUCUCCCUCCAGUGGCAUUUUUUAGAUAUAUCCUCACUAUACUAAAAGUGCGAGUUGGAGUUGCUACAGUGGUCAUGGACCGGUUAUCCGGUAAUUUUGAGCAACUUCGGUGGCAUUUUCAUAGGCAGAUAGACUGGUAAUGCUGUAAAUUUCGACAAUUUCAGUGGCAUUUCAUAGGCAUUUGUUUGGGCUUGCCCUCUUGCUCCAGUGUUCAGACGCUAGAAUUCUUUCCCCUCUCCCUCCAGUGGCAUUUUUUAAGAAGCAUAUAUGUGCCAUAUAUAAAGCUUGAUGCCCUUUACGGUGUUGCAUUGUUAGUUCUUUCUUCUUCUUUUUAUUUUUUAUUUUUUGCCUUUAUUAUAAAGGAUAAAAUGGAUUUAUUCUGUAACAAAGUAAUAAAACAAUACCAGGAGUUGAAAAGAAAGUGUGGCAAGUUGUAUUAAAUAUGGAUAUUUAUCUAACAAUAUAAAAGUGAGAGUUGCCCCAUGAACAAUGUUUUUUUGUAAAGCGGUUAUCCUGCAAUUGUUAUUGGAUGCCCGGACUAUUAGUAAAUAACAUACUAAUUAUUCUUUUUUAUAGAACGAAAAAUAAGAAUAAAAACAAGGGCAUUAAAAAUUUGUAAUAAUAAUAUAGAGUAAUAUGGAUAUAUAGACUAAUAUAUCUUCAUAAUUGCAUGUUUUAAAAAGUAGUAGGAUUAGAAACCAUUUUUAGUCCGUGACACCUUAACCGAUUUUGGUUAAUUGUGAUAACAAUGUUGGACUUCUUUUCUUUUUUUUUUUUUACUGCUGUUCAAUUUUUGGGAAUCAUGUAGUCAAAAGCUACUGCUAAACAUGCUAAACAAUCACUGCAUUCAACAAUUUUACAUAGCACUAUUUUAUUUCAUUUUUUUGCAAUAUAUGCAUUCAUUUUUUUCCAAACAAUUUUAUUUCAUGUCGCAGUAAUAAAAUCCAUUUUUUAAAGUCACUAAAGGCAAUAAUAAUUUAUUAAUUAUUUCCUCAAUAAUUGUGUAUUUACAGAACACUAAACAUUAUUUAGAUUGUUUCUUACAUUAAAAAAAUUAAAGUACUUUAAAUUUCAAAUAAAUUUAAUAAUACAUGGCUCUUAAUAUAGAUUAAUGAUCUAAUAUUAGUGAACGGCAUUUUACAAAAAUAUGAAAGAAAAAUAAUUGUUGUGAUUAUAUUGAUUAAAUGUUUUAAUUUGUGCAAAAAAAAAGGAAAUAGGCUCAUAUUUAUGGAACUUAGUGAGUAAUAGAGAUAUACAUAAAUAUAAACGUGUAUCUUUAUAAUUACCUCACCCAAACCACAUAAUUUGUACAAAUCAUACCACACAAAAUGUCGACACUGCAUUGUCUCAAUUAUAGUACUUUAUUAACCAUUAUAUUACAAAGUAUCCUCCAUACUUCGCAAACUAUUAACACUAUAUUCACCCAACCAAUUUACCGCACUAUUAUUUUAUAAUUUAAGCCAAACUUAUAAUAAUUAUAUAACUCUCUACAUUAUAAGUAAUAUAUAACGGCUAAAAAUUAAGCAACUUAACACGGAAAAUAUUAGCACUCCUGCGCAAUGCGCAGGCCGUCUCACUAGUAAUAUAUAAGUGUGUGUAAAUGUGUGUGUAUAUAUAUAUAAAUCUAUUUCUUUUUCCCCCUUUAUCCCACUUGGGAUUCUCGGUGACAUAUUUUCUAUGUCAAUCCAAUGCCACCUCUAAUAUUGCGCCAAGUGUCCUAUUAUUAUUUGCACUUUAAUUUUCUAAUAAUUCAAAUUGAUUUGGUUUAACACAAGUUUUCUCUACCCUCUAAACCUUUGAACCAAAAUUAACCGACUGGUCUAAUUCAUAUACCAAUACUUUUGAGUUAACCACGGAAAACCCUAAACAAAAUUGCCUCCAAACCCUAAACGAGAUUCUACACCAUAUUGUUGUCAAGAACGGUUGCCGGAGCAAACAUCAACAAUUCUACGUAAUUUAUGUGCACUAUUUUGUGUUCAUCACACCAUUAAUUUAUGGGUUAUUCGUAAUCAUAUCAAAAAACACUACUAUGUUUUGUCCUCGUAGUUUUCAUAUGUGAGUUUCCAUUCAUCUCGCCACCAUCUGUGGAUUAAAGUUUUUUUUUUGUGGAAAUAAGUUUGGAACGCUGUUUUACCAUAAUUUGUAUUACUCGUAGCUACUCCUGGGAGGUGUACAAUAUACGGUUUCACACAGGAAGGGUAUAAAAAAUUGUAGUUCAAAUUUCACACUGCUGAUUCUUUGAUAGACAUUAGAAUUGUCAUCAUAGGGAACAAAGAAAACAAGGGUUUAAAGAUCUACAUGUGUAGUCCUUCAAACACGACAUGUGUAGUACAGAUUUUGUUGGAUCCCAAAUAUGUUUGAACAACUUUUUCAUUGUCGGAUCCCAAGUUCAUAGAAAUUGAGAUCAUCUAAUGCAAGCAUGAAAAAUAUGAGUCAACAAUUUUACAACAUAAAUUAAAUACAACUUGUGAACGAGGCUUUGGCUCUUCUUAGUCAGAGCAUUAAAUGCUCCUUUUGUAUGCAGUUGCCUGAAAGGCCUGUCACGGUAUAACCUUUAGCUUUUAUGAAUUAUUAGUGCACAAUAUGCUCGGUUUAUUUGCAGUUUUUGUAUGAUUAAUUGAUCUUAACAGAUUGAAAAAUGUUUUCUUGGGUCAUUUUUUUGUUGUUCAUAAUCGAAGGACUAAAUUUGUGGUUUUGUUUGUAGGGCAGAUAAGGAUUUGUGGUGAUCCUAUUUAUCUGCAUUUUUGUUUGGUAAUGGAUUGUUGUUACAAGAAAGAAAAUGUAGAACUGUUUGGUUUCCUUGAUUUUAACUUCAUUCUUUGUCCAGUGUAAGGGCUUUACUUGGGAUUGUCUUAAACUUUUUCUGGUUGAUCGGAUUGAAUACUAUUUUCAUGUUUCUAUGCCUAAAACUUAAAACUAGCACUAUAAGUUUAUGAUGAAGCAAAUAUUUGUUCAGGCAUUUUUCUCGUUUUUAUGUGCACUAUUUUUUUACUUUUGUUUUUAUUGUUAUUGAUUUAGCAUGAAUUAUUGUUUAUUGUUUACAAAUAAUUUACUAUGAACGAAUACUUUUGAUAUUGAAAAAAUAUUUACUUAAAUAAUCAUUCAAUGAAACUUAUUGUAUUGCAAUUAACUUUGUGUGAAAGUUUGCAGGAUAUGGAUGCUACGACUUCUAUGGAAACUGAGGUAUCAUCCUAUCGCAGAUUGGAUUUUGACAAGGUAGAUCAAAUUACCAAUGAUGAGGUUUCCACUCCACCAGUUUUAAAUGUGAUAAAAGAUGUAAACAAAAUUCAUGCAUCGAUUCCUCCUGAACUACUUCCGAAGAUGGGCAUGGAAUUUGAGAAUGAAGAAGAUGCUUGUAAUUUUUACUUAGCGUAUGUAAAGGAAGUUGGUUUUGGAAUCAAAAGAAGUAGCUUCCACAAAGAUAGCAAUGGUAGGCUCAUGGAUAGGGUAUUUUGUUGUAGUGCUGAAGGAAACGAGGAAAGGAUAAAAAAGAUCUCAAUGUAAGAGCCCCUCGUCCUGAAACACGAUUUAAUUGUUCGGCAAAGAUGAAGGUUAAUAGUAGACAAACUAGUAAGUUUCAUAUAUGUCAGUUGAUCAUUGAGCAUAAUCACUAUCUUUUAAGUUCCAACAAAAGUCAUUUACACAGAUCACAUAGAAAGAUAAAUUCUAUUCAUGCAGCUGAAAUUGAUAUGGCACACCAUGUGGGUAUAACACCAAAAGUUUCUCAUGAACUUAUGGCACUACAAGUAGGAGAACGGGAGAACUUAGGUUUCAUUCCUGAGGAUUACAGGAAUUAUUUACGUUCUAAACGGACAAUACAAAUGGAUGUUGGAGAUACAGGAAGCGUACUUGAAUAUUUGCAAAAAAUGCAAUUAGAGGAUCCUAAUUUCUUCUAUGCAAUUCAAGUGGAUCAGGAUGCUUUGAUUACAAAUAUUUUUUGGACUGACGGAUUAAUGAGGGUAGAUUAUGCAAGUUUUGGAGAUGUUGUUUGUUUUGACACGACGUACAGAAAGAAUAAUGAAGGCCGUCCAUUUGUUUUAUUUGUUGGAGUGAAUAAUCAUAAAUAGACUGCAAUAUUUGGGGCUGCUUUAUUAAAUGAUGAAACUACUUCAACUUUUGAAUGAUUGUUUGACACUUUUACGAGAGCCAUGUCAGGAAAAAAACCAAACACUAUACUUACGGAUCAGAACGCAGCAAUGGCUAAAAGACUAAUUUCUACAUGGUCUGAAACACGUCACCGUCUUUGCAUGUGGUAUAUAUUUCAAAAUGCAGCUAUUCAUCUCAGUCAUGUGUUCGAAAAGUUUAAACAAUUUGCGAAUGAUUUCAGUAGAUGUGUAUAUGAUUUUGAUGAAGAAGAAGACUUUAUAUAUGAAUGGAAUGCUAUGUUGAAGAAGUAUGGUCUUGAAGACAAUGAUUGGUUAAAACGUAUGUUUGAAAUUAGAGAAAAAUGGGCAUUGGUGUAUGGAAGGGAAACAUUUUGUGCAGAUAUGACAACAACUCAAAGGAGCGAAAAGCAUGAAUAGUGUGAUAAAAAGGUAUGUAACCUACAAGAAUAAAUUUCAUGAGUUUUUCAAUCAUUUUGAGAGGUUAGUUGAUGAUCAUAGAUAUAAUGAACUUCAAGCUGACUUUAGAGCAUAUAUGAGUACUCCAGUACUACCAUUUGAUGUUGAUGUUUUGAAACAAGCUGCAAGUGUUUAUACUCCUGAAAUAUUCAAAUGGUUUGAAAUUAAGUGGGGUAAAUCUUAUGAUUGUGGUAUAAUCACUUACAGUGAGGUUGGAACAGUAACAGAGUAUAAGAUCACUCCUAAAGGCAGAAAAAACUAUCAUAUGGUUAGAUUUGAUGCAAUAAUAUUUUCACUUGCCAAAGAUACCCCCGUGUGUUUAUCAAAAGCAUUCUCCCUACCAAGUCUCUUCUUCUCCAAACCCUGGUGAUUUUAGGUCCGCUCAUCUUCAAACCAAAACCGCAGCCAUAUGAAGAAAAAUUGGUGAGUUUGGGUCUGCUCAUAGCAUGUAAUCGAUUUGGGAGGAGAGGUAAGAGUCUUGAACUUGUUAAUUUUGAGAUGUCUUCCUCAAGUUAUAGAAGUGGGAAUGGAAGUAGGGAUUUGAGAUAUCAAUAUGGGCUAUGUGAUUGUGGAAGAAAGUCUAAAAUAAAAAUUGUUGAAUCAGAAAGCCAACCAAAGGCAUGUUGUAUUUCGUUUGUGAAAGAGAUGAAUGUGGCUUUUGGUGUUGGUGUAAUCCGACUACCCGAGAGCAGCCAAGAUGGGAAGCUGGUAUUGGAAAACUAGUGGAGGAAGAACGACCACGUAUGGAAGCUAGCAUGAUGUCAAGAUGGCAAAAAGUGGAUGAGGAACUGAAGAGCCUGAAGUUGCUCAUUUGUUAUUGUCUAAUGGUGUCUGUGUUUUCACUAUUAGUGUUGAUGUCCAAGAUGUGAAAUUGAUGUGUUAAUCUUUUGUUUAGUUCUAGUAGUGACGUUGAAUGGGGAAGGAAAAUGUAGUGAAAAUCCAUAUGUACAAUGAUGAUUCCAUGUUUUGCUUUGUAGAAAUGAAAAAGAAAAAUUGCCUCAUUGUCUUUUGGAUAGUUAUUAUUAAAUGUAAAAGUUGUACUGUGAUUGAAAUGGGGUAUGCCCCUUUUUUGUUAUGCAACUUCCUGUAAAUGAAACUAAAACCUACAGAAGAGAAAUAAAAUGGUUGCUUUGAUAUUCCAUCUAUUCACUCAUACAAAAACAACCAUUUAAUAAGAAGGGAAUUGAAAUGCCUGCAAAAUGAUAUCCAUCAACCAUUCAAUAGCAUGAUAAUAAAUUGGAUGCAAAAUGCGAUCCAUCUUGCUUUGAUAUUCCAUCUAUUCAUUCACACAAAAAAAACAGCCAUUCAGUAAAAAGGAAAUUGAAAUGCCUGAAAAAUGAUAUCCAUCAACCAUUCAGCAACUUGAUAAUAAAUUAGACGCAAAGUGCUAUCCAUCUUUCCAUUCAUAUAAAAAUAGCCAUUCAGAUCAUACAUACAAAAGUAGAACACAUCAUUAUUUGUUUACACCAAACUCAACGCCCAAAAAUCAGUGCAAAAAACAAAAUAGUUUGGGCAUAUUUGCAGUCAUCCAAGUCUAAUUCAGUCACCAUAAAAUGCCAGUUUACAUCACAUCACCUAACUACGAAUCACACACAUAUACAAUUUAGGAAAAUGGAUUUGUUCUUGUUCUCUUGACCCUUAUUUUAUGCAGCACAUCAGCAACUGUUGGAGGUCUAACUCUUCCACCAGGACCAUUCUUAACAGGUUCUUCAAUCACAGUAGACUGUUAAAUGGAAGUAUGUUAGUAACAGAACAUAUGUUUCAAGUACUAUGUACUAAGAUUCAUGAAUAAUGUCUGAGAAGAAGCAAUUUUUCUAGUGAUAACCCUAUUGACAUUCCUAACAGGUCCUCCAGUCACAACAGACUAUUAAAUGGAAGUAUAUUAGUAACAAGACAUAUGUUUCAAGCACUAUGUACUAAGAUUCAUGAAUAAUACCUGAAAAGAAGCAAUUUUUCUAGUGAUAACCCUGUUGACAGUAGACAUUAUUGGUUGAGUAUAUGCUUUUCUCUUUGGAAUUUUUUAUUUAGAUGGAUUGGGAUUAUCAACCAGCUUUCCUUGAGAGGCUGGUUCUGAAGUGCCACCAGCAGAGUGGUUAGCUCCUUGUGGCUCUGAAGUUUCACCAGCAGGCUCUUGAUUUGCCUAUGACAUAAAAACAAAAAAGUUAUGAACUGUUAGUAAUAAAGAAGAGCCUAUGCCAUGCAUAAGAAGAUUGUACCUUGCAAAAUUUGAAAUUUGGAUGAAUUGAAUUCUUACAACUUCUUGAAUUGUGCCUAGGUUUGAAGCAUUUUUUACAAUGCACAGUAAGUCCUUUUCUAGUUGAUAUUUGUCCAUUCUUUAGUUUAUCAGGUGCUCUCCUCCGCACCUUCUUUGGCCUUCCAGCACCUUUCUUAUUAAUGGAGGAUUAAUUGACCCUUCUUUGGCCUUCUCCCAAUACUUUGCACUUGGUAUAGGCAUAAUUACAUGCCUAUAUGUCUUUCCAUAAGUCUCUUUGUUGUAGCAUUUGUAGACAAAAUCAACAAUUGGCUUUUUACGUGUUUGUACAUGCAUGGACACAUGGAUAACCUGUUAAUUGAAAUAACCCACAUGUAUAGGUCCAAUCCUGUAGGUUUACCACUACAGUUUUGUUAAUACCAGCAUCAACUUCAUAUUUCCAGCCAUCAGCCCAUAUAGCAACACAUGUCCUACUCAAUCUUACAUUUUUCUCAAUUUUCUCAUGGAUGUUUGGACAUAUUUUACCUUGAAAUUUUUCCAUCUCAGUCCUCUUUACCUGGAAUCGUUACAUUAGUCUUCUUCUAAUCCAUUCAAACAUCCCAACCACAGCCAACUCUCUUGCGGGAAGAAUGUAAUUGUUUAAUGAUUCAUUUAAAUUGUUAAUCAAUAUGUCACACUUACUUCUUCCACUGAAGUGUGAUCUGGUCCACAGAGUUGGUGGAAAUUUUGAAAGCCAUGCUAAUGCUUGUGAGUCAACUUUUUUCAUGUCUUUCAUUGCCACAUGCCAGUCUGCCUCAUUUCCAGCAGUUGCACAUGCCCAAAACAAGUCCUUCAGCUCUUUUCGUUUGAAUUUUUGGCUGAAGUUUUGAUACAUGUCUUAUGUAGAACCUAUGCUCAGAGUCAGGAAAAAGCUCUUUAAGAGCUUGAACAAGUCCUUGUUGUCGAUCUGAAAUGAAGGUCCAAGAUAUGUUGUCCAUCCCCAAUCCUAAAUCAUUCAAUAAAAGCUGUAGGAACCACCUCCAUGAGUCAUACCUUUCAACUUCAACAACAGCCAGUACUAUUGGAACCAUAUUAUCAUUACCAUCACUCCCUAAGGCAGAUAAUAAUUGGCCUCCAAAUGCAUUCUUUAAAAAGCACCCAUCUAGACCAAUAAUUGGUCUACAUCCAUCAAGAAAUCCCUGCUUGCAAGCAUGAAGACAGAAGUAUAUUCUUUCAAAUGUACCUCUAGACGCUGCAUCAGGUUUGUCAACUUGAAUCUUUACUGUGCUAACAGGAUUAUACUUCACGAUCAUGGCUGCAUAAUGCCAUAGAUUAUGAUACUGCUCCAUGUUUAAUCCCUGUAUAUCUUCUCUUGCCUUUCUCUUCACUCUAUAUAGCUUAGAUGAAGUGACACUGACCAUCAAAUCCCUUUUAAUCUCAUUCUGAAAACCAAUUAAGUUACACUUAGAGUCAUCCCUAAUUGAUAUCUUUGGCUAAGGUACCUUGAUGUAACAUGUUUGUUGUUGUACUCUCUACCACAAAAAUGCUCAUCCUUCAAAGUUUUGAUCUGGAAGGUACUAGUCCCUUGAACUUUUGAUGCAUGGAUCCUCCAUGAACAACCCCUCUCACAUUCAGCUGUAAUUUGGUAGAAGUCAUUUCUGAUCCACUUUGUUUCAUAUCCCUCUCUUAUAUUCCAUUCCAACAAAGCCACCCUGAAUAAUCUAAAAUUUUUGAACUUCUGGCCCACUUUUAGUUCAAAAUGAGGCUUGUUAAACUCAACUUUUGGAUCGAAAUCUAGAUAUUCUUCAAGUUUCUCACCAUCAGAACUAGUCCUCUCCAGCAGCUCCUCAUCGGGAAUUACAGGUUCAUUCCAAUUGGUUUCUAAUCUAACUUCACUGUUCAGUCCAUCAAAGUCUUCUUUAGGCUGUUGUUGUACAUGAUUUCCGCUGUCCUACAAGUGUGAACAUGUAGAAUAGUAUUUUGCUAGUGUUUCCCUCUCCUCAAUAGUAGGCUGGUCUCUUGCAGCCAAUUUCUUUGGACUUUUCAGAUCACCCUUCACAGCAAACACAUGCAACUUUGACUUAGCAGCCUCUUUCUUAGAUGGGUUCAUAGCAAAAAUGUCUUCAUCCUCUAUGCUCUCAAGGCCCUCUUCUAACCAAUUAGGCUCAACAUUUUUUGAUUUACCUGCUUUGUCCACAGCACUUUCUACUUUAUCCGUAGUUUCUUCACAUGUAUGGUUAGCAUUUGCACCCUCUUUUUGCAACAUGCUGAUCCCAUCACAAUGUUUAGAAGGCUCUUCAAAUGCUUGGUCCCUACUUACACUAUAUAUCACCCUUACAGGAAGAUGUAAAUAUGCAUCAUUCAUCAACUUAAUGUCAUCAUUCCCUGUAAUUGGUAGCAACCCAGUUUCUCAUGUCCAAAUCCAGUACACACCACCCAAAAGUGACCCUGGUUACAUUCUUCUCAAUUAGCUUGAACAUUCUGCACAGUCCAACUAUGGACAACUCACUUGGAUCUCUAUCCUUCCAUAUGGCUAGCUUGUAGUCUCCUACAUAGGCUGUGUUGGGCUCACUUCUAAAAAUUCUACCAAAGUACAAGUGUAUCUCAACCAUUUCUUUUUCUUUUUCUUGUGUGUUGUCUUCUGUUAACCAGACAAGUGCAAAAUUUUUUUUAUUAUUAUACAUAUAUAUAAAGUAAGUUGUCUGUACUUUAUGUAAAAAAAAGCAGACAUGAUAACGACGUAGGUUCACAACUACUACUCACAAGAAUCUUGCCCCAUCUAGACCGUUGAAUGCCAAUAAUAACAACAAUCUAACCACAGUAAUGAAAGUGAUAUAAACCAUUAUAAAAUUGAAAUUUUUGUAAAGCUCAAAUCUUUCCAACAGCUAGAAUUUAUCAACCUUUUUCUAACAUAUUGGUUUUAUCAUAAAAGUCAUAUACAUCUAGAUCUAGAAAUACGGAUUUAGGUGUUUAUUCACACUUUUAUUCAAAUUAUUCGAACAAACUAAGAUAUAUAAGAAAUUGGAAACAUCAAUCGUAACAAUCACAGUACAUCUAAGUCGACAAAUAAUCACUUCAAUACAUAGUAGCAUACAAAUCAAGGUGUUUAUUCACAUUAUUAUCCAGAUUAUUUCCCUAAACUAAGAGAUCGUAAAAUAGGAAGGAUUCGGAGCUUAGAAGCUUACCUAUCCUGCUACGGGUCUUCUCCUGAGUUUUCGAUAUGAUGCAGUUGACGUCAAAUGCUUGCAAUUGACGUCCUAUUCUGCUAGAAAUCUUCACUAAUUGUUAAGAACUUUUCCAAUCUAACAGAUUGUGUCUUCCUAGGGUUUCUAAAGCUUCACUCCUCUCUCUCUCUCUCUCUCUCUCUGUGCCUCUUUUCUUUGAAUUCUCAAAAGCACGAAAUAUUCUUGUGGAUAUCACUAGGAGUUAAGUGUUGUGGAGCUACUAAGGAGAGACCCUUAUUCACCACAAAAUAAUUUAAUAAAAGCCAUAGAAAGUGAAAUAUAGACAGCACAUAAAACUAAUAAUAAAGAGAUUCAGAAUAUUUUUACUCUCACUUACUAAUUGUUCAUUUUCUUUUUUCUGCUACAAAGAUGUGACCCAAUCCUCUUAAAUCUGCUUCAUUAUUAUGUAUCCGCAAAAGAAAAGAACAUACUUUCAAGGGAGAUACAAAUAAGGUGUGAGAUAAGAGAGAGGAAAAAAAAUACUUGAAGAUGAUUAGUAGAGAUUGGAGGAGAGAAGGGCAAUAGAGACGAUGAAUGAGAAGAGAGAGAAAAGAAGAAUCAUAACAGUGUCAGCUAAAUUAGGAAUAAAAGGGCACGCUUGUCUUCAAUGAGUUAGAUAGGCAUCAAAUUUGGAUUUUGUCCAAAACCCUCCAACUACUUGGGUUUUGGGAAAUCCUAGGUUUUAAGAAAUGAUUCCAAAAUUUUCAUUUCAAUAGUAUUAAUCCAAACAAUGAACAUAGGAUUCAUUCUAGAUCUUGAUUCCAAAACCCUCUUACCAAAUGUGUUUGGUAAGAGGGUUUCAGAAUGGAGAAUUAGAAUAAACUCCAUAAUUGUUGUUUGGAUUACUACUAUCGGAAUUGGAAUUUUAGAAUCAUAUCUAAAAAUUUGGAGUUCCCCAAUUCCCUAGUAACUUGGAGGAUUUUGGACAAAAUCCAAAUCUGAUUUCAGUUUAGAAACGAGGCCUGUCUCGCCACCCGUUAAAAUAAUUAAAAUAUAAUUAUAUACAUAUAUAAUAUAUACAUUAUAAUUAUAAUACUUUAUUAUAAUUACAUAUUGUAUUAUAAUAUUAGUAUAAUUAUAUAAUAAUAUUUAUAUUUAUAAUUAUUAUAUACACAUAUGAUAUAUUAUAUAUAUUAUAAUUAUUUAACUAAAUAUAAUUAUAUUUAUAUAAUAUAUAUUAUAAAUUUAUUAAUAUUGUAUAAUAAUAUAUUUAUAUUAUUUAAAAAUAUAUUUAUAUAUGCACAUUAUAUGUGCAUAUAAUUAUAAUAUAUGCGUGUAUAUAAUAAUAAUAUAAUUAUAUUUAUAUUAUAAUAUUUAUAUAAUUAUAGUUAAUUAUAUAUAUAAUAUUUAAUUUAAUUAGUUACAAACUUAUAAUAAUGAUAUUAUUAGUUAUAUAUAUUAUAUAAUGUAUAUUAGUAUAUGUAAUAUAAUUGAUAUUAUCAAUUAUACUAAUAAUUAUAUAUGUUUAGUAAUAGAAAUUAUUAAUUAAUUAUCUUAAAUUUAUUAAUACAUUUAAUUAGUGAAAAUUUCUUAUAUCUCAUAUCGAAAGAGUCAACGAACCAAACAUCAACUAUAUUAAUGAUAUACAUUUCUGAUAUUGAAUCAAACAGAUGUAUUGGAACGAUUGAUUCCAUUCCAAAUCUAGAAUGAAUGAUCCCAAAUUUAAAUCCGAUUUUAAGGUGUGAACCAAACGCCACGUUAGUUCAGCAGGGGAAAAUGUAAGAUACAGCGAUGUAGAGGGGCACAAUUACAAUUAAUCCUGAAAAAUAAUAAAUCCCAGGUACACCAAUAUAAAUUCUCCAAGAAAACAAGAGGGAAAAACAACUGAGAUUGCAGAAGCAAAAGCUCAACUGAUUAGGGUUCUUCUUCUUCUUCUUCUCCUCUCGGCCCAUCUUCAACUCCGUCCAGCCUAAGCGCUCUCUCUCGAUCAAACCAUGGCUAACUGUUCGUACAUCUUUCUCUCUAUCGAGAAAUUUAUGUACAUGAAAGUUAGGGUUUUUAUUUUUGUAGUUUUGGAUUGUUGAAGUUGUAAUUUUGACUCAUAUUUUUGUUUUUUUUUAUUGCUGAAUGAUUGUAGCGGGGGCGCGGUCGUUUUUACAGGUGGCGGCUACAGAGGAGGUUGCGCCGCCGCUGAGAGUCGUCCAAAUCGAGGGACUGGUAAUUGAGAUUGUAUAUUUAGCUGCAAUUCGGUGAUACUUUUGGAGAAAUAUUUGUUUAUGGCUUUGUCCCCUGAUUGUUUUGCUUGCUACUGAAUGAUUCCACAACCUUUAUGGUAAAUUUGUUUAGAGAUUUCUUUUGGUAAAAGCGUGUACCUUUUUUCUCUUUUUAGAAAAAAAAAAAGAAGAUUUGAAAUCUAACCAUUAUGGUUAUAGGAACAUGAACAAGCUUAAUAUGGGUUUGUUUUCAUAAAUCAAAUAAUUUUUGUGAAUUGUAUGUUUGUAAAAUUUUCAGUCCGUCAAGUAUUAUUUCUGGUAAAAUAUAUGUUUAAUUUCCUUUUUUUCUCCAGAUCUUUGCUUGUAUUAUGUUAAUCCUGCCCCAAAAGUAUUGUUUUAAUUCAGCCAUUAGAUUAUUAUUUUUUUAAAAUAUGCUAAUAUAAGAGGAAUGGGGAAGGACAUGCUGCAAUAAGCAGUGAUGAGUGUUGAGGUAGACCCUUGACAUAUAGUGCUUAAACUGUUGCUCUGAAGUACUUGGCUUUCUGUGGGAUUCGCAUUAUGAAUUUAACUAUGAAGCCUUUUAAUGAACUUGUUAAAGUAUUGAAUUUUCGUACUGUUCAUAUUUUCUUUAUACAGGUUGUUUUGAAAAUUAUAAAGCAUUGCAAGGAGUUUUCGCCAGCUUUGGUCACAGGGCAGCUACUUGGGUUGGAUGUUGGUAGUGUCCUUGAAGUCACCAAUUGUUUCCCAUUUCCAGUACGUUAAGUAGAGGAUUUUCUGAGUUUCAUACUCUGAAAGCUAAUCAUACUUUACUUUGUCUUUUCUAUGUUUUAUUCUGAUACUACAUUGUAUUUUUGUGAUAUGUAAAUGAUAGAUACGGGAGGAAGAUGAAGAGAUUGAAGCAGAGGGUGCUAAUUAUCAGCUUGAAAUGAUGAGAUGCUUGAGAGAGGUUAAUGUUGACAACAACACUGUUGGAUGGUGAGUUUGUCCUUGUAUUCGUUCUUUACUUCAAGUUGAUGCAAAGAAAGAACAAUGAAAAAGAUGGUAGUUAGACCCAUUUAUGGUGUCAUUUGAUAAACAUGUCUCCAGGUACCAAUCAACCCUAUUCGGUUCCUACCAGACAGUGGAAUUGAUUGAGACAUUCAUGAAUUAUCAGGUAUUCUUCUCUCUCUGCUUUUUUUAAUGUGAAUUAAAUUGAUUGAUAACAACACUGUCUACUCUUAUCUACUACCUAGAAUUAUCUGUUUCAAUCAUGCUUGGAAGUAAUGGUGUCAGCUUUUUGUUCUGCUACAUGAAAAUUAAGUCUUGCUUUUAACUAUUUGAGGGAUUUUUUUGGUGAGGUUAUGCUAUGAUUUACUUAAGCUUUGAGAGCUUUUAUUGCCCCGUGUGAGAUUUUUCCUUAAAACAUUUUUGGAAAUUGUGAUUUGUAAAACAUCAUGUAUGUAGAUUGUUGGUUCAUUUACUUCUACUCUUUGCCCUGUACGUAUCUACUGCAAUCGUUUUCUCUAUGUGGUUAAUCUAAACAAAUUUGUUUCUGCAGGAAAAUAUAAGACGGUGCGUUUGCAUUAUUUAUGAUCCUUCCAGGUCAAACCAAGGAGUUUUAGCUUUGAAGGCCUUGAAGCUCUCUGAUUCUUUUAUGGAACUCUACCGCAGCAAUAACUUUACUGGAGAGAAGUAUGGUUUUUUUUUAUACAGUGUACUCUUUUAGAAAGUUUUAGUGUAAAAUAAGAGAAAUUUUAUGACUUUAUCUAUCUAUGUUUUCUGCUUAGGUUGAGGGAGAAGAAUCUUUCAUGGGUUGAUAUCUUCGAAGAGAUCCCUGUAUGCCUUUGAUCCUUGUGUUAUGCUCAUAAUUCACCUCAUUCUUGGAUUUGGCUAGUUUAUAUAUGCAAAAUUUUGACAUACUAUGUCUUUCAUGUUGAAGCUACAUUUCUUUGACCCUAGCACUUGCACUUGUGUAUUUUUCUAAUUCUGGUUGAUUGGUUUGAAACUCUAUGAUUUUAAGAUCCACAAGUGUAAGGGCUGUGGUGUAUUUGUAUUCUAAUUCAUUUAUGUAUAUUGGCAUUCUUUUAUCUUGAUUUGCUCCUUGAAAUACAUUGUUUAGAAUUAUAUAUCAUAUAUUUAUUUCUUUCUUCUUCAUUUUCCUGCCUCCAUUUUCUGUUGUCCAGGUGGUAGGAUUGGUUUCAGAAUGCAUCUUGUUAGUUAAUUGAUAAGCUUUAUUGCACAAGUUGUUAAACCGACUUAUGUGUUAAAUUAUGUGCUCUGUACUGUUUGAGAUUCUUAUGUCACCUUUUCUGGACAGAUAAAGGUUUCAAAUUCUGCUCUCAUCAGUGCCUUUAUGACUGAACUUCAACCAGACACUCCUGUUAACCAGGUAAUAGUGUCCUCUAGUUUGUUGAUUCAUAGCUGGUUUAAUGUUUAAAUCAUUUCUAAGUUCGAUUUGCUUUUUGUAUGGUAGUGUGAUUAUGAAAGGCUACAAUUGUCAACCCAUCCAUACUUGGAGAGGAAUAUGGAAUUUUUGAUUGAAUGUAUGGAUGAUUUGUCAAUGGAACAGCAAAAGGUCAGUUUGUUUUCUCUUUUUUUUAUGGUGGUCCGUCAUUGUAAUGAAUUGUUCAAGUGAUCUGAUUUUUGUUUUUAUUACAGUUCCAAUUCUAUUACCGAAAUUUAUCUCGUCAACAAGCUCAGCAACAGGCGUGGCUUCAGAAGAGAAGGUAGAAUGUUUGUGAUAUAUUCUAGAGUAUUCAAGUAGUUUGUAUACAGAUAUUUGGUUGUUGUUUUGCGUUAGGGAUGGGUUUCAUGUAACUGAUGGAAGAAUGACUUAUUUUCAAGUUUAAUCUUGGGCCGAUGGUGUGGACUAUUUUUCAAGUGCAUUGAAGUUAUAGAAUGAUUAGAGUUAAAUUUGUGAUCUGAAAGUGCCGAAGUUGGUAUUAAAUUUUGUUGGUGGUUUGUUGGAAUCAAGUUAUGUUGUACGUUGUAUGAGCAAAAAUUUCAAUAUUCUUUCUGGGAAAUCAAAAGGGGAAGAAGAAAAGGCAUCUUCUAAGUGCCCAGUCCAAGUAAAAUUCUCUCUAUUUUCUUAAUUUGGUGAACUUCUUAGUGGUGGGGAAAAUGUCUGUUCGCUGAACAUUUUCGAUCAACAUUUCCCUUGAAGAGAGAUGAAAAGUGGAAAGUUUUCUAUGAAGGUUUGUCAUUUUUCUAUGGUUUGAAGAGGUUUGUCUUGUCAGGAAUAUGUAAGCUUUUGAAUGUUUAGUUCUACUCUUUAAGUGAUUUGGUUUCAGACUCCCUGACAGUCAGUCACUUGCUUGAUGCUUGCUUUAGCAUCUACUUUUAUUUAUUGAAAUCUUUGGUAUUUUUAUUUUUUGAUAGGGCUGAAAACAUGACACGUAAAGCUGCAGGGGAAGAGCCAUUGCCUGAAGAAGAUCCUUCAAACCCCGUUUUUAAGCCAAUUCCAGAACCAUCACGGUUGGAUAGCUUUCUCAUCACAAAUCAAAUUGCCAACUAUUGCAACCAAAUUAAUGGGUAUGUGCCAAAGUUGUCAAUAAACUGCCUUUUAUACUUUCACUUGAAUUGGACGAUGAGUCUAUUAUAUGAAAGUUAGCGCCACCUGAAAAUUUGGCCGUUGGGAUUUAAUGUUAUGACAACUAUAAGCAAUGUAUCACAUUAUCUGAACCUGGUAUGCUGGUUGCUUGCUUGUUCACAAAGUACCCCAUAGGGCCAUAGAUGUUUGUCUUAAAAAUAACCUUUCCAAUUUGCCAUCAAAAUGUGUAUAUGGUUUAGGAGAGCUUAUGUGUUCUUGACUUCCUGCUUUGAUUUACUGAAGAUAAGUUUACUACUGCCCAAAAAACAAGGCUUAUGGACAAAGUGGGUUUUCUACUGCUCCUUGCUGCUGCCUUCAGUUUCUGUUUCUAUUAUACAAUGUCUUCUUGCUUUUUAUAGUAUAUCUUCUAUUGUUUAAACCAUGAAUGUUUUUUGGUACUUCAUUUGCUACAUUGUAAGAUCCCCUCGUCCUGUUCAUUCUUGUGUGGGAUAAGUUUGGUGCUCCAACUGAUUUCUUUAAGUAGGAUUUAUGAUUUCAGCUUUUGGAGAAGUUACAAGGUCUGGCUUAAAAAUGCCAGGCAUAUUCCUUUAUGUCUUUCUUUUCAGUAUUAAUUCCUUCUUCAAUCAAUGAAUAGACAAGAUUCUAUGUUUGUUUGCUGUGAAUUACAGAGUUGCUGGACAAAGCUUCAGCAGGCUAUACUUGAUGAAAGCUCUGCAUGAAAACUGAAUGUUGUGCUUACCAGAACCUUAUUGGAAAGUUUCAAAGGGAAGGAGCUGGGAAAGUAUGGUCCAUCAUAGAAUGUGCAUUUUGUCAAUUUUCAGAUUGUAACUUAAGCAAGGAUCUUUGCUUAAAACUCUUACAGCGGGGGGAAGGGCAUGUUGCUCUAAAUUUGUAUUGAUCUUUCCUUCUGGCUUCUGUUUUUAUUUUGCCUGAUAUAUCAGUUGAUUUAUAUUGCGUAAACAGCAAAAUUUUGGAUGUAAGAUUUAGUGAUAGUUGAUUAAGUAUUCUCAAUUUUGUCAGAUCUGACCAAUCAAUCUGCCUAUAUUUUUGUAUUUUGGUCUCUCUCCCUCCCUCCCUCCCUCCCCCUGCUACUAGCAAUACACGCAGCAGAACCGAGUUAUAUGGUGCCAUCUGUUAUGAUGUGUCUUGUAAAUAUGCACAAAAGAGACCUCAUUGUGUAGUCGCAUAAUUCUUUUCUUUCCUGUACAGUGUCUGUGUCAGUUUUUCCCUGGGCUUCUAAUAGACUUAAUAGUUCUCUAUAUUGAUAUUACUUGAACAGUUUGGCUGUGCCUCGAUUUCUUCGGCUUUAGUGGUGCCAAUGUCAAGUUUUCUGAGAAUUUUUUUCCGCUGAAAGUGUACAAGUUCAUUGCUAGUUUGACUUUUUGGUUGAAAAAACAAUCGACAUGUAAACGGAUUUUUCAAUUAGGGAUAUUGUGAAAGAGAUGCCCGUCAGGUGAAAGUUUUAACAGUGGCCGGAGGAGUUCUAAUUGUAUGUCAAGCAAUUCUUCAAUCUAGGAAUAUGGAAAAAGAGAUUCCCACUGGGUGAAAAGUACUAUUUGUGACCUGAGAAAUACACUAAUUUUUUCCUUGUUUCCUUGUAAGAUUUAUGGUCCUUUGGACCCCAAAAAAAAAAAAAAAAAAAAAAGGAAAGAGUGAUACUGUUAUUACGAAAAAAAAAGGGAGCAAAGUAGAAGUGAGGCAAUUAGGACCAAUAGACUUGGGUCGUGGUUGAUAUUAACUGAGACGGUUUUAAAAAAAAAAGAAGAAUUGACAAAACAUACUUCCUUCUUAUGUUUGAUAUAACACUUUUUUUUUUUUUUACCUAACAUUAGUUAAUUGUUGUUUAAGUUAAUCUUGCUGAUUAACUCUUGUAAAAUCGGGCGUCCAAAUUAUGUAUUGGUGCUGUGAGUAUCAUGAAAAUCACCUCUUUCUAUUCAUUAACAUACAAGGGUGAUCUCCCAAAUUUAUUUUUAUAGAAACUAUGGAAUAAUAAUAACGUUUCAACUUUUCAGAUUUUAGAUAUAUGAAGCCAUUGUUUUCUUACCCCAUAGGGCCGUAUUCUAGAAUUGAAAACAGUGAGUGCUUUGAUAGUAUAUUAUUUGAAAUAUUAUUUAGAAUAAUUAUCGUAAUGUGAUAUAUGUAAAAUAAAAAGAUAGUUGAAAAAUAUUUAAAAAAAUUAAUUAAUUAAAAAAAUAUAUUUAUGAUGCAAGUAAAAUAAUUUGUAUAUCCAAACAUACCUUGCCGAUAUUCGAUAGACCAGUUACACUGGAGUCUAUCUAAGGAUUUGGGGACUCCUAGUGGUUAGAAUGGGUGAUGGUAUUCAGGUAGAUGAUUCACCAUGUGUGGUUUUGGCACAGGAAGUUUUUACAUGAAACUCAAUCCUUAUAUACAGAUAAGCAUCAGCAAAAGGGGAGUUUGGGCUUGGCUGGUGGAGGCGGUGGUAUCUAUCAGGGUCUCUGAGAUCAAGAACCAGCUGGAAAGAGAUCAAGAAGUUGAAGAAGAUGAAUUAAGGGAGGAAUAGAAGAAGAAGAAAAUUAGGCAGAGGAAGAGCAAGAGCAGUUGAGAGAAACAGAGAGAAAAAUUAUGUUAUUGAGUAAGGAUUGCUUCACUACAGUUACAAGUAUUUAUAUUUCCCUGAGCAACUAACUGAGCCUCACACAAACUAUGCCAUUGAAAACAUACAUAAAUUAUCAAAGUACUUGUGAAAUAUUCAACAUAUUUGGGGUCAUGACAAUAUUCCCGCCUUAAAAGAAUCCUUGCCCUCAAAGGAUUGAGAUCAGGAAUGAUACUAAAUUUUGGCUUGGCCUAAAAAGAAUAUGACCAAAGAAGCAGCCUGUAUCAAUUUGCUUUCGAAGCCUUGAGGUAAAUUUUGGAAGUUGCAGCCUAGUAGAAAAUCCCAUCCUCCUGGACCCAUGAAAAGACUCUCUUCCAAAAGUUUGUAGCCUUGAACUGAACUUCCUCUUGCAGGCCAAGUUCUUGCAACUAUCAAAAUCUUUGACACACCAUAAACUUCAAUGAAAAUACCUUGUCCUUGUUCAAUUAUAGCUUGGACAUAGUCUGCCCCCACUUGACUAGUUAAUUUGAAAUGAGAACUCUCAAUUGUAUCUUUACAGUCAAGUGCAACUCGAUAAUUUGAAUAUCAUUGAACCUUGUAACCAGGUGUAUACUGGUGCAAACCAUAAGGUUCCCAUUCAAAUGAGGAUAUUCCCAUUUCCAUUACUUCCCUACGAUUGAUCCCCCUGGAGUCAGCAUCAACAAAAUCCAAUGACUUGAUCUUCCUCAUCUCAAAUUGGUUUCUAUUGGGAUGAACAGAUACAAGAAUGAAACUUUCUGCAAGUGUAUGAUCAGAACUAUUCUUUUCUCCAAUUUUACCACUUAACUCAAGAACAAGCCCAGUCCCUUUCGUCCAACUUUUACCAAAAACAAUUCCAGCAUCCAAAACACCCAAGUGGCAAAUUUCGCACUGAUUCCUUGGAACAUGGCUCAUUAUAGCUUCCACAAGUUCGUAAUCCAAUACCUCCUUAAGAUUCAACCUCAACUGAAAGAUUGUAAUGUGACAUCUCGCUUCUAAUACAUGCUUGCUAUUGGUCUCAUGGUUCAAAGACUCGGCCGAAUCAUCACCGGAACGGAGCUCUCCGAUAUGAUAUCGGGACAAGAUAACUACGAGAUAAUGGAUCACCAGGAACUCGGAUGAAACAGAUAGAAACGACCGAAUAGCUCUGAAUCAACUCAAAUUUUUAUUAUUUUUGCUAAUUUUUUUUAUUAUUUUUGUUUAUCAUACGUUUUUAUAUCAUACAUAAUUUUUAAAAUAUUAAAUGUUUCAAAAAUUUGUGUCUCGCCGAAACUGCGAUCAAUAUGCCGAAACCGAUGUAAAACGAUCCGAACCGCAACCUCUGACUUUGAACCAUGAUUGGUCUCUUGAUCCCACUUAUACAGGUAGACAAGCACCUUCAACAACGUAAUUUCAAUGCCCCUUCAUGGGGAAAAUUUACCAUCCUACUCUUUGGACAACUGCUUGGAGAUUUGCGUAAGAUCAGCAAAGUUGUCAGAAAACAUAGUUGAGAAAAUUGCAUCACAGUUCUUCCUUCACUUCCAAAAUUGAACAGCAAGUUUCCCACACUUCCAAAAUCAAUUAACACCCCACGGAAGUUCUCAACACAAAAAAGGCUCAACUCGUUUCUAGAUCUUCCCAAGGGUUUAGGAAGAAUCAUCUUAUUCAUAUCCCAAAUUGCAGCUCGAAGAAUCUUGCUUGAUAAAAAUUUGGUGUGAGAAUUUGCUGUCUUCUCCAAUACUAGUGCCACCUUUGAACCCAGUGCCUAUUUCAGACCACGAUUUUCAUUACAAUUUUGGAUUCCUUACUGAUAAUUCCAGCCAAAAUACUCUUGAAGGAGAAAACCUAUGAGAACCUCCAUGAAGUCUCCUGGCUUGAAGAAUUGUAGCACAAAUUUGGUCUCUUUCUUCAAGGCAAUAGUACACAAGAUUCAGCCAAUCCAAGGCCUCCUAAUAACAUCAAUGAUCUGAGUUCUUCAACCCCUUUCUGAUUCUUUUCAGCAAUAGAUCACUGCUGUAAUAUGCUAGGCUCAUCUACUUUAUCUUGCAAUCUUUCCCUAUCUAAUUCAUGACACACGUCAAAAUAUUUAGACAUAUUAUAUUUUCCUUCCAUCAAUUGCAGGUCCUGGGACUCAAUAUCAACAUUCUUUUGUACACAAAUUCCAUGAGUUUCAUUCUUCGUAUUAUCCAGCAAUUGACAAUUUAUAUGACUUCAUCACAUUUUCUCAUCCCUUGGAAUUUUCUAUAGAAAUCAUAAUCAAGUCACUAGUUGAAGACUCCAAAAAAGAACCCUUACCAAUUUCUUUCUCAAUUAGUUGCUCAUUAAUAUCAGCCGUCCCUGACACAACAUCAUCUUGAAUUUGCCUUCCACAUCAAUCUUAUGUUUUUCAACCUCCUCCUUGACUUGAGUGGAUAAGGUAGGCAACCCUAAAUCACCAAUAAUUCUUUGAUGUUCCUCCAAGGUAAACCCUUUUUCAUUGCCGAGUAACCUAAGUAUGAUAUUGAAUUAGCAAUCAAUACUAUAAAUGGUUACAUCCAAUUUACUGUAGAUUCCAUUACUUGGUUCAGUAUGCAGGAGAUGAUCAAACUUAUUUUAAUCUGAUUUGGAAGAUCCAUGCUAUUAAGUAGGGAUUGAUUUGUAAACUCAUUUUUGGCACAAAGGGAAGUCCUGUGCUGAUGCUUUAGCCAAAAAUAACUUGAAUUUGGAGACAGGUGUUACUUUGUUACCAGAUCCAACCUUCAUUAGGCAAUUGUUAGCUUCACAUCUUGUGGGUGCGACCCACUGCAGAUUUGUUUAUGCAUAACUAGCUACUUCUGCAAAGGUCAUGUGAAGUUGAAGAUACCAAUUGAACACGGUAAAAAUAGCAAGAAUUAUUUUGUCGGUCCAAAUGGAGUAGAAGAUGAAAUCCUAUGUAGCAUUUAAGCAAAACCUAAUAGAGUAUCAAUAAAGACACAAAGCCUUAUAAAGCUCAAAUUUUCAACUGAAAUAGUAUUUGUACAUUUACAGGAUUGGACGAUCAAAACUGACCUUUUUAACUAUUGUCACAAGUUCCUUAAUCUUGAACCCAUAUCCUCAGACUCCUAUCAUUAUCAAGCCCAGCAGAAACAAUCAUGUUCUCAAUGGGAUGGCAAGUGACGGAGAUGACAACAUCAGUGUGCCCUUCAAGCUUCUGAAGCAUAUUCUUUCCUUGCAGAUCCCAUAUGCAGACGCAUUUGUCCUCUGAACCACUGACAAUGUACUUCCCAUUUGUGACUGAGAAAGUAGGCGUUAUGCAAUACAAUCUAUUCACAUGGCCCGUGUACACUUUCAAAGACUUCCCAGCUGCAUAGUUCCACAACCUCUGCACCCCCAGCCACCAGAAAGAAAAGACCCAAGUCAAAUUAAUAAUGAUUAAUUAUCUCAAGUGAACAGGGAGAAUCUAAACAACUUCAUAACUAUAAACUUAAUGAAUGAUCUCCAUUCUACUUAAAAUAGAGUAAAAAUUCAAGCUCCAAAUAGAGUAAAAAUUCUAUUGAUUCUUAGACGAUUCCAAGUAAAACAGGAAAACAUUUACACUUACAAGAGUAUCAUCCAAAGUGGCGACCAGGAUAAACUUGCCAUUAGGAGAAAACUUUGCGAAGGACACCGCCGGAACCUUUUCAUCAAUAAGCGUCAUAAGGCACGAGCCACUUGCGGCAUCCCAAAUCUUGCAAGACCCAUCAUGACUACCCGAAACUAUCAACGAUCCGUCCCUAUUAAAAUGCACAGAUGUAACGGGCAUCGAGUGGGCCCGAAUUACAUGAACCGACUUGCCCGUUUUCACGUCCCAUACCCGAACCGUUUCGUCGAAGGAGCCCGAAACGAUGAGGUUCGACUGGGGGUUAAAAUUGACGCAGAAGACGAAGUCAGUGUGGCCGCGGAGAGUUUUGACGCAUUCGGCGGAGCGUGCUCGCCAAAUGCGGAGGGUGCGGUCGUCAGAAGCGGAGCAGACGUAGGUGGAGUCGGGGGACCAGGCCAGGUCGGAGACGCCGUCGGAGUGACCGAUGAGGCGGGAAAUUUGGGUUAGGGUUUCAGCGGACCAGACAAUUAGGGUUUUGUCUAAGGAAGAGGAAGCGAAGAGCUCGCCGUUGUUGGCGAACUUCACGCACGAUAUAGCCCGCGUGUGGGAAUUGAGAAUUUUCUUUAGCCGAUAUGGGCGGUAUCCCGGCACCUGAGACUGAGACUGAUUGCUGCUGUUGUUGCUUGCCAUGUAAGGAUCCGACUGUGAUAGGGCGUCCGCCGGCCGGCGAGUGGAAGAUUUGCCGAGAGUGACAGCCCCGGAGCUUUUCUUUUUGUCUUUCGUUUUCCUCCCGUCAAAAGGCCUGAGCUUUGAGUUUGAGCAUGUGUAUUUGGAAACCUUUUUGUGAAGUUUAGUGACGGGUUCAACUAAUAUAUACAUUUUACCUCAUACAUACUAGUCAAAGUUAGAAAAAAAAAAAGAGUGCUAUGAUAUUAUUACCUUUUUAUUCAUGAAAUUAUCUAUAUCUUAGUGUUAUUUCUUUUCAUUAUUAAAAAAUAUAAUCUUCUCUAUUGUAUCAACUAUAAAACAAUAUCAAAAAAAAAAAGUUUACAUUUAGUUUAUAACCUUAGAAUUUUUCCUAUUGGAGUAAUAUUCACUUUUAUGUAUGCUUUGUUCAAUUUAUUAUACUUUAAGUCAAACAAAAUGGAUAAAUAAUACAAUAGUAAAUUAAUCACAAUUUCUAAUUUUUUUAAAAAAAGAGGUAAUACUAAAAUUAUUUUUAAAAAAGUUGUAUUUAUUAUUUUAGUUUUGAUGUGAACUUUUAGGCUAAUAUUGUUGUCAUGUUUUGUUGAUGUAUUAUAGUUUACUAUUGUUGCAUUUUCUUCUAAAAAAAUUAAAUUUGAUUUAAUCUCUAUUUCCUUCUCUAGGUUUAAAAAUGAGACGUAUCAACCAUUUUUAGCAAUUUUGAUUAAGAAUUUAAUAUUGGAUUAAUUUGAAAAAUAAAAAAGACAAUAAUAUUUGUUUAAAACUUUAAAUAAAUUAAAAUAUUGAAAAAAAGAAAAAAUAAUUUUUGUAUUAUCUCUUUUUUAAAAAAAUGUAAUUGUGCUUAAUUUAGUGUUGUGUUAGCUAUCCUUUUUGUUUGACUUAAAGUCUAAUAAAAUGAACAAAACAUAUAUAAAUACAAACCUUAAUCCAAGAAGAAAAAUUUGAAGGAUAUAAACUAAAUAUAAACUUGCUUUAGUUAUUUAGUUUGAUAUUUUUGUCUCGUUGAUAAGAUAGAGGAGAUGUAAGUAUUUUAGCACUAAAAGGAAAUGAUAUUAAGUUAUAGAUAAUUUCUUGAAUAAAAGGGCAAUAAUGUUAUUACACUUACUCUCUUUUUUUUUUUUUUUUUGUAUUUAUAACUUUGACUAGUUUUCAUGGGGUAAAGUGUGUAUAUUUAAGGUUGAGUGGGGUAAAGUGUGACUAUGCCUAAGUUGUUAUAUAAUUCACAUUUUCCUAGUAGACUUUGAAGAUUGAUGUCCCUGCAUCCACAAAUUUCUUCUUUCGCUCAAUCAUAAGUUUUGCCCACUUUUCUUCAAUCUGGAUUUGUCCCCUAUCAAGAUUUCUCAUGUAUGGCUGCUUUCUACGACAGAAAGUGUUUUCUUUGUAGAUGGACCAGGCGAGAUUUUUUUUUUUUUUUUUUUUUGUGUUCUUAGUACUUAAUAUCUCGAUUCUACUUUGUGUCAAAAAGUAAUUUCUGCUUAUAGUUGUGUCAAAAAUUUGGAUAGUUGUGUAUUUGUUCCUUUAUUAGAAACUUGCAAAUUGUCCUCUUGUUGUGUGUUAAGUACUUCUUGAUCUUCAACGGCCUAUAUAUUUUUGCAAUUGGAAUGCUGAAAAUGAAAUGAAUGCAGAAAAUUGGGCAGUUUUAUGCGAUGAACUUGAAUCUGGCGGAUAGGAGAGUCCUCCCUGCUACCUAAUUCAAGGUUCAAAUCUUAAACCUGACAGUUGCCGGUAGCGAGAAAAAAAAAAUUGUUUCAGCAAAAGUGUGUGUGCAUUCUGCCAGGUCCUCAUGUGGUUUUCGGUAUUAAAUUUUGCUGGUUUAAUCGCUGUUAAAUUGGCAGCAGUCAUGAAUUCGGAAAUAUGGUUUAGUUUUGGUUCCAAAAAUUUACUAUCUACGCACUUCAGGUUAUCAGAAUGAGAAAUAAUCCCUUACCUAAAAAUAACAAAGUUUAUAGGUCUGAUGUUUUUAGUAGUCAUCUUCCUGCUUAUGUUUUAAGUUUAAGGUUUUGCUCGAGUCAGAGCUGCUAUGUUUGGCCUGUUCUAUUAAGGUAAUCUUCUUUGUUUCUUGGUGAAGUUGAGAUGUGGCUUAGGACUGCCAGGCCUGAAUACAAGUCAAAAGUUGUGCCUCCAUUCUUUUGAUUCAGAACAAUAAUACAUGGAUGGAUGCCCAUUUUCUUCAAAUAUGAUGACUUUGUAGACAUAUUACACGGUUAUUACCAUCUUGAAAAAUAAUUUAUUGCAUCAAAUUUAGGGUUCCAACUUAUAAGGUCAUUUGUAGAUCUUGAUAGACAGAAAAUAUGGUGAAUUAUGGUCUUCGGUUAUUGGGUAAGGCUUGCACUGGCAGUACAAGUUGCUACCACCUUAUUCCUAUACAGUGUUUAAUGUCCAUCUCUUGGUAUUAAUCAGUCCUUGGUUUGUAUCAAAAGAAUGUCCAGUUUUGUGUAUGCAGUAUUGUUGUUGGGAUAAUUGCAGAAACCUCCCCUGAGGUUUCUUUGAGUAGCACUCACUUCCCCUGUGAUUUACAAAAUAGCAUUGACCGCCACUAGAAACUAAUUGGGGCCUAUUGUUGUCAAAAGAGUGUGUGAAUUUAGCUAGCAACCCCCAAUUAUCUGUGGUUAUCUGAUGAACAAAUUUUACAAAAGAAUGAAUGUGGCUUGUGAACAAAUUGAGGGAGUAAAUAAGCUAAUUAAUUACUAAUUAAAUAAAUUGAGUAACUAAUUGUUUAGUAUUAUCCUUUCAAAAAUAUUUAGUAACUUAAACAAAUUGUGUAGUAUUACCCUUUCAAAAAUGCAGACGAAUCCAGGCUUGGAAGAAGUGUAACGGGGGGACCUAAC